AACGCGAAGAACCUUACCCAGGCUUGACAUGCAGUGGACGAUGCCAGAGAUGGCAUUUCCCUUCGGGGCUACUGCACAGGUGCUGCAUGGCUGUCGUCAGCUCGUGCCGUGAGGUGUUGGGUUAAGUCCCGCAACGAGCGCAACCCUUAUCAUUAGUUGCCAACACGUGAAGGUGGGAACUCUAAUGAGACUGCCUGGGUUAACCAGGAGGAAGGUGAGGAUGACGUCAAGUCCGCAUGGCCCUUAUGUCUGGGGCUACACACGUGCUACAAUGGUCGGUACAGAAGGCAGCGAAACCGCGAGGUGAAGCAAAUCCCAAAAGCCGAUCUCAGUUCAGAUUGUAGUCUGCAACUCGACUACAUGAAGACGGAAUUGCUAGUAAUGGCGUGUCAGCAACAACGCCGUGAAUACGUUCCCGGGCCUUGUACACACCGCGAGC
RNAcentral lists this ribosomal RNA (439 nucleotides) under uncultured bacterium. RNAcentral's name for it is "bacterial SSU rRNA". It matches the Rfam family "Bacterial small subunit ribosomal RNA", at positions 958 to 1397 of the family's 1533-position model. The record is from RNAcentral.